GGCCGCGACCAGAGCAUGUUGGAAACACCCGUUCUCGUCUGAUUUCUGAAGUUAAGCAACGUUGGUCCCGGUUAGUACUUGCAUGGUGACCGGCUGGGAAUACCGGGCGUUGUGGCAG
Molecule: ribosomal RNA, 118 nt
Filed under: Opisthorchis viverrini
Lineage: Eukaryota; Metazoa; Platyhelminthes; Trematoda; Opisthorchiida; Opisthorchiidae
Source: RNAcentral